This 77-nucleotide transfer RNA is filed under the name Parvibaculum sp. Its description in RNAcentral is "tRNA-Arg". It matches the Rfam family "tRNA". Rfam says of the family: Transfer RNA (tRNA) molecules are approximately 80 nucleotides in length. Their secondary structure includes four short double-helical elements and three loops (D, anti-codon, and T loops). Lineage: Bacteria; Pseudomonadati; Pseudomonadota; Alphaproteobacteria; Hyphomicrobiales; Parvibaculaceae. The record is from RNAcentral.
GAACCCAUAGCUCAGCUGGAUAGAGCGUCGCCCUCCGAAGGCGAAGGUCUCAGGUUCGAAUCCUGAUGGGUGCGCCA